This 419-nucleotide ribosomal RNA is filed under the name uncultured bacterium. RNAcentral describes it as "bacterial SSU rRNA". It matches the Rfam family "Bacterial small subunit ribosomal RNA", at positions 28 to 447 of the family's 1533-position model. The record is from RNAcentral.
GACGAACGCUGGCGGCGUGCUUAACACAUGCAAGUCGAACGGUGACCCAGGGCUUGCCCUGGUGAUCAGUGGCGAACGGGUGAGUAACACGUGGGCAACCUGCCCCUGACUUCGGGAUAACUCCUCGAAAGAGGAGCUAAUACCGGAUACGACCACUUCGGACAUCCGAUGGUGGUGGAAAGUUUUUCGGUCAGGGAUGGGCCCGCGGCCUAUCAGCUAGUUGGUGGGGUAAUGGCCUACCAAGGCGACGACGGGUAGCCGGCCUGAGAGGGCGACCGGCCACACUGGGACUGAGACACGGCCCAGACUCCUACGGGAGGCAGCAGUGGGGAAUAUUGCGCAAUGGGCGAAAGCCUGACGCAGCGACGCCGCGUGAGGGAUGAAGGCCUUCGGGUUGUAACCGUCCUUCAGCAGGGACG